Long non-coding RNA from Bubalus bubalis (water buffalo), 737 nucleotides. RefSeq lists it as uncharacterized. Lineage: Eukaryota; Metazoa; Chordata; Mammalia; Artiodactyla; Bovidae. The record is from RefSeq and is a predicted model, not a curated record. The transcript has 4 exons.
UUGGUGAUGGACAGGGAGGCCUGGCGUCCUGCAAUUCAUGGGGUCGCAAAGAGUCGGACAUGACUGAGCAACUGAUCUGAUCUGAAGGCAGCACACAUUUAUCAUCUUAAUAGUUUCUGGGACUCAGCUUUCAGUAGCUGGGAGACUGACUCAGGCCACUAGGCUGCAAUGAAUUGCUGAAUGGAGCUGCAUCAUGUGAAAGGAGGCAGAAUCUGACUGGUGUUGGAGGACCUGCUCCCAAAGUCACUCUCACAGCUGUUGACAAGAGAUUUUAUUUCCAGUUGUGAGAGACCUCAGUUGUCCACCAUCUCAGCCUACAGGUAAGCGCCCGACAGGGAACUGCACUGCCAUAACACAAGUGGUGGCGCAGACACCUACAAUCCUGAGAGAGAAUCUGUCACCCUGCUCACGGAAUCCAUGAAAGGGACCUCUAUGGAAUGGUUUCAACACUUCACAAUUCCUCAAGUAACUGGAUUUGCUUCAACACUACCAUGUAAGAUGUUUGCUGUAGGUUUUUGAAGAAUGCUUUAUGAAGUUUUAUGUUUUGACAGAUAAAUAAAGUUGUGUAACAACAACCACCAUCUAGCUGCAGGACUCCACUACUCCAAAAAAAAUUAUUUAUGCUGCCCCAUUGAAGUCAAGUCCUUCCUACCAACACUUAAAACAAGCAGCCUGUAAUCUGUUUUUCAUCACUACAUUUUUGCCUUUUCCAGAAUGUCAUAAAAAUUAAUCAUACA